UUUAAACCAAUGAGUGCACUUAAUUGUGGCUCAACCUUUUUUUUUUUUAAUUUAAACCCCAAAAAUUUGAUUGUAUGACUACCAAACCUUUUGGGUCAUUUCAAUCAAGUAAAAGUAACAUUUUUGUUGCAUUAUCCCCCCCUAACCUUUUUUAUAAAUACACAAGUGGACUUAAGAAUGUAAAAAUUGAUUGAUUAUUUUGAAAUAA
RNAcentral lists this unclassified non-coding RNA (208 nucleotides) under Puccinia tanaceti. RNAcentral's name for it is "ITS1". Lineage: Eukaryota; Fungi; Basidiomycota; Pucciniomycetes; Pucciniales; Pucciniaceae. The record is from RNAcentral.